Molecule: long non-coding RNA, 1034 nt
Organism: Nerophis ophidion (straightnose pipefish)
Lineage: Eukaryota; Metazoa; Chordata; Actinopteri; Syngnathiformes; Syngnathidae
Exons: 3
Source: RefSeq, a predicted model, not a curated record
UCACUCAUCUGCAGAACAAAGAGCACAACUCUCCAGCUCACGAUCAAAAGGAGCUGAUCUUCAGAUCCCCCUUUUCGCUGUCUUUCAGGCUUCAAACGUCUCACAAAGGAGGGCGGUGGUUGCCGGGAAGGAGGGGUUGCCUGCAUGCUGUUGGGGCAGCUGCCUGCAAGACAGCGUGCCUGAUGCCUUGCUGUCUGACUCGUGUCUGCCUGGUCGCCUUUCGUCUGUGCUUGGCUGGCUGCAUUCUGUAAGGGUGACGGCACGUUGAGUCAGCAUGGACUUUCCAGACUUCUCCUGGCGGCCUCACUGAAACUCACGAAGGCUUUCCUGGAAAACAAACACAGCUUUAGACUAUCUCCCAAAGAAAAGAUGUCCAAACUGACAGGUGUGCAGAAAUACACUGUAUUGCCAGAAGUAUUUGGCCACCCAUCCAGAUGAUCAGAAUCAGGUGUCCUAAUCAAUUGGCCCCGGCCACAUGGAUGACAGAGUCUGGAGUGGAUGACCUUGACUGGCCUGCACAGAGUCCUGACCUGAACCCGAUAGAACACCUUUGGGAUGAAUUAGAACGGAGACUGAGAGCCAGGCCUUCUCGACCAACAUCAUUGUGUGACCUCACCAAUGCGCUUUUGGAAGAAUGGUGGAACAUUUCUAUAAACACUCCCCGCAACCUUGUGGAAAGCCUUCCCAGAAGAGUUGAAGCUGUAAUAGCUGCAAAAGGUGGACCGACAUCAUAAUGAACCCUACGGUGUCACGAUCUGUCACUUCAUUUGUUUGUUUUCCUUGUUUUUGUAUUUACUUCCUAUCAGUGCUCUUAUUUUGGUUUCCACUUCCUGCUUUUUCCGCUGAGCACUGUUUGUUCACUCACCUGCUGUUGAUUGGCAGCUGGUCCACACCUGCGGCCAAUUAACAUGUAUCCUAUUUAUGCUUUGUCUAAAGUACUCCUCAUUGCUCAAAGAUCACUUUAUGUUGGAACUGUUUCAUGCAAGACUGCUUUCUCCUCUGUUGAUGAUAAUUAAAAUCAUCUUACCUGCUCA